This 412-nucleotide long non-coding RNA is filed under the name Malus domestica (apple). RNAcentral describes it as "long non-coding RNA (MDOM_LNC015172)". Lineage: Eukaryota; Viridiplantae; Streptophyta; Magnoliopsida; Rosales; Rosaceae. The record is from RNAcentral.
GAGACGAAGAGAAGGGCGCGGGCAGGGUUAGAAGGCAGGCGGGCAGAUAGGAGCACAGGAAAAAACUGUGCGGAAAGAAAAAAAAACAGAAAAAAAAGAUAUAGAAGGGACGGGAGAGAGACUGACAGUGAGGUCAGAGGCACGGGAUUGGAAGGACUCAGACUGGCGAGCAGCGUUAGCCUCGGGGAGGAGAAAAACAGAAGCAGCAAACUGCCUUCUCUCUCGGUUAAAUCUUUCCAACUUAUGUUUUACUUUUGGUUUAAUUUGAUAAUAAUGUGUAACUAAAUUUAUUUUGGCUAGAGGUUAAUUCAAAGCCAUGAAUAUAUUUGUAAUAUGAAUUGAUUACCUUCAGUUAUGAUUUCUGAGUUGUGAUUUAAUUUGCUUAACUGCUUGAUUGAUAACUUAUUUUUGU